This 425-nucleotide ribosomal RNA is filed under the name uncultured Anaerolineaceae bacterium. RNAcentral describes it as "bacterial SSU rRNA". It matches the Rfam family "Bacterial small subunit ribosomal RNA", at positions 938 to 1382 of the family's 1533-position model. Lineage: Bacteria; Bacillati; Chloroflexota; Anaerolineae; Anaerolineales; Anaerolineaceae. The record is from RNAcentral.
CAUGUGGUUUAAUUCGAUGAUACGCGAGGAACCUUACCUGGCUUAAUGUAGAGUGCAUUUUUAGAGAUAGAAAUUCCUUCGGGAGCCAUUACAGGGUGUUGGCAUGGCUGUCGUCAGCUCGUGUCGUGAGAUGUUCGGUUAAGUCCGCUAACGAGCGCAACCCUCGCUGUGUGUUAUAUGUGUCACACAGGACUGCUGGUAUUAAGCCGGAGGAAGUGGGACGACGUCAAGUCAGCAUGACCUUUAUAUCCAGGGCUACACACACGCUACAAUGGUCAGUACAAUGGGUUGCCAAGCCGCGAGGCGGAGCCAAUCCUAAAAAGCUGGCCUCAGUUCAGAUUGCAGUCUGAAACUCGACUGCAUGAAGUCGGAGUUGCUAGUAAACGCAGGUCAGCUAUACUGCGUUGAAUACGUUCCCGGGGCUU